CCUACGGGGAGCAGCAGUGAGGAAUAUUGGUCAAUGGACGCAAGUCUGAACCAGCCAUGCCGCGUGCAGGAAGACGGCUCUAUGAGUUGUAAACUGCUUUUGUACGAGGGUAAACGCAGAUACGCGUAUCUGUCUGAAAGUAUCGUACGAAUAAGGAUCGGCUAACUCCGUGCCAGCAGCCGCGGUAAUACGGAGGAUUCAAGCGUUAUCCGGAUUUAUUGGGUUUAAAGGGUGCGUAGGCGGUCGGAUAAGUUAGAGGUGAAAUCCCGAGGCUCAACUUCGGAAUUGCCUCUGAUACUGUUAGGCUAGAGAGUAGUUGCGGUAGGCGGAAUGUAUGGUGUAGCGGUGAAAUGCUUAGAGAUCAUACAGAACACCGAUUGCGAAGGCAGCUUACCAAGCUACGUCUGACGUUGAGGCACGAAAGCGUGGGGAGCAAACAGGAUUAGAUACCCGAGUAGUC
Molecule: ribosomal RNA, 460 nt
Filed under: uncultured bacterium
Lineage: Bacteria
Description: partial 16S ribosomal RNA
Rfam family: Bacterial small subunit ribosomal RNA
Source: RNAcentral